UACUAUGAUCAUACCACCCUGAAUGCACCUGAUCUGGUCUAAACUUGGUAGGUAGGGUUGGGCCUGGUUAGUACUUGGAUUGGAGAAUAAUUUUUUAAAGUAC
RNAcentral lists this ribosomal RNA (103 nucleotides) under Nannospalax galili (Upper Galilee mountains blind mole rat). Lineage: Eukaryota; Metazoa; Chordata; Mammalia; Rodentia; Spalacidae. The record is from RNAcentral.